GAUUGAGGUAAUGGAUGAUUGAGGUAAUGGAUCUUGUUCAGGUGGUGUGUGCCUAUUGUAUCAUGCACAUACACUCUGUAAAAUAUAUUGCUUCACUAUUUUAUUUUUCACUUUCUGUUUUCUUUUAAUCUCAACUGGAUAAAAUUUCCUUUCUCAUUAAUUGGUAAUUUGUUAUUCUACAUUGCGAUGUUAAGGUACAUGCAUCUGUUGGCAGGACUAAAAGAAAAGGCUUGAGGCCGUAGAAAAGCCUAAAUAGAUUUAGAAGAUGGGCAUUGAUGUGUUGAGAUCUUCAGAUCUGAGCUAAACUUAUACAAGAGGCCAGAUCAUAAAUAAAAUAAGAUAAAGUUUGAGGGUCCUUGCAAAAUUUUUAUGUUGCACUUUAAAUGUCAAUCUCAUCUUGGUUUUUUAAAAAGAGGCUGUUGGGCUUUUUAUUAGAUUUUAUACCAUUGUCUCUAUAGAGCUAUUAUAGCAAGCUCUUCUAUUAUUUCACAACUUCCAGAUUUAGGGUAUUUUUGUAAGAUCUGUCUCAGCUGGAAUAGGUCGCUGAUUAGAUUGUGUUUAUUUUUUUUAGUCUUAUUUUGAGAACUUAUUGGUUUAGAAUAACAUUAGUUGUUUUAGACUUUUAGGUUAUCUUUGUGAGUCCAGAUCCCUAGAUGAAUAGGACUUCUGGGAGUCCAAUGUCUUAAAAUGGUUAGGGCUAUUUUGAGUCUACGAGUACUUAUUCUUGUAAUGCUCUAUCAUUCAGUCAAUAAAAGUUUUUGCAAUUAUUGACUCUUGGUUUAUGUGAUGCAUCUUGAUCAUGGGUUGAUGCACCUUGGGUAUGAUUCCUAAGGAAUUUUAAGGCUCUAUUUGUUUCACAAUCUGCAUUUUCUAGUGUUUGGGACACUCAUGAAAAUGGAUCAACGGAAAAUAUUUUCCUAUUCAAAGGGAAAACUAAAGUCAUUUUUCUUAAAAAUGACU
RNAcentral lists this unclassified non-coding RNA (960 nucleotides) under Hevea brasiliensis (rubber tree). The record is from RNAcentral. Lineage: Eukaryota; Viridiplantae; Streptophyta; Magnoliopsida; Malpighiales; Euphorbiaceae.